AAGUAAAGUGAAAAAAUCUUCUAAACGUGUGUGGACACACAAUGCUGAAUACUUAUAUGAGAGGCUACGUAGAGAUUUAAAUAUAAACAUGUAAGGAAAGGCUUAGUUCGAGAGUAACCAAAACAUUUCUUGCUCAGGCAUUUUGCUAGGAUGAAAGGUGGAGAAAUAUUUCCUUUCAUGGGCAAAUGCAUUUUUCCGAAAAGUAAGAAGUCGCACGGUGCCAUAUCAGAUGAAUACGGGGAGUGGUUAAUGGUUAAAAUGUUAUUUUUCGUCAAAGAAUCGUCCUUCGAAUGUUGGAUUCUGAGCCAUUUUUGGUCGUCAAUCAAUUUGUGCGGAAUAAACCGUGCACGACCACUUUAAAAACGUUGAAACCACUCGUGCACUCUGCUACGUGAUAGGCAAUCAUCGUCUUAAAAUUUUUUCAUCAAUUGAAAGGUUUUGGUAAAAGUUUUACCAAUUUUAAAACAAAAUUUAUUGUUGGCUCUUUGUUCGAAGCUAAUUUUCGCAUCGAUAACACAAACAUACUCACACCUAAAACGCAAUAACUUCACUUCCAAUUAAUGAAAUGGCAUGAAAUUCUCACUGGACAAUCGAUAAAGAUAGCAGAUUCUUAAGCACCAGUCGAAAUAUAGUUGGCGCCACCAAGGGGCGUUGGAUUCAAAAAGUCCUGUUUACUUUGGAAAACGUCUUGAAAUACGACACCUAUCAAAUCGCUGAAACUGUGUUGCGACAAACGUAAUUUUAGCGUUAAGUAUACUGGCGUCCGUGCAGGAAUCAGCGCGAAAACGUAGUGAAAAUGGCCUGAAAACCAAAAAGUAAAGCUACGCGACUGUGGAGUCUGCAGUACCAACAGGUGUAGGAAAAAGGACAACCCCGGAAUGAGGAAGAAAAUCCUAUGGGAAGCUGGAAAAUACUAUUUCGAUUGCCAAAAUGCACGGAUGUCAACAACCACCAUUUACCAACCCUAGAGAAAAUGGGACCAGGAAUAGUCUUUUUAAACAAAUUUAAUGCCGAUAUUUUUAUUAACAACGACUCUGCAACAGUAAACGGACAUUUAUUAUUAAGUACACUAACGCAAAGCAAUUUAUUAUUACAAAGAAACGAUAUCAAGCAAACCAUUACAGACAACGUACAACCUUCAUCUACACCAAUCAAUAUAGAAGAAUUCCUCUCGCUAAAGAUGCUGAAGUAGCUACCAAUACAAAAGAAGUAAGCUUGUUAGAAAUAGCAAAUAGAGCGAAACAUACACUCAGCAUCACCUUAAUUAUUAUGCUAAUUGUGAUCAUCAGAAAUUACCUUAUAAAAACCACAGAAAAUUUAUCAAUUAAACUAUCAUCAUACCAUUCAAAGUAAUAUAAUACGACACUAAACAAAUAGCUGAAACUGCGUUAUGCGCAGAACAAAACUGUGGAAAGUGCAAGGUCAGCGAAUUCCAUCCCCGUUGCAGCGGCAAACGUAGCUUUAACUUUAAGUAUAAUUAAUUGCAGCUUUUAGUUCUAAUUCGGAAUUCCUUCGGAUCUGCGUGGUCAGUUUAGCCAUGACCGUGCGUCUGUUUGUAUAUACGAAAACUAAUCCCUCAGCUUAUUUUUCACAAGUUCUUUUCUUCUCAAGAUGUUGCUCAUUUUCCGGAACCGCCGAUAUUUUGAGAUCGGACCAUUUAGCGCCUAGCUGCCACAUAAAACGACCAACCGAUCAAAAUAAAAUUUUUGUGUGGAAUUUGUGAAGGACAUUAUAGCUUUUCUUCCUUUUACUAGCGACUGAAAUAAUCUCAAUAUUCUCAUUUACUUUCAUUGAGACAUUUUGUAUUGAGAUAAAAUAUUAUAGGGCUAAACCAACGACUAGAUAUAUUACAUGCUAUAUAUCAAUAUAUACGGUGAAGUUAAAAAAUGGAAAUCACUACAUUGGAAAUAUCGGAGUUAGGAGAAGACAUUUGGCACUAAACCAAAAUACGCUCGAGAAUGCGUUUCCACGCAAGGGCUAUGGUAAUUCAUGGAACAAUUUCCCUUAUUUUCGCCACUAUGUAUCUUGAUGAAACUUGUUAUACAUACUUGAAAAGGCUGAUAUUGCAAAUGGGUGGAAUCGGAUCAUUACCACGCUCACAAAACGUCAUUAAUCGAAAACCUACAAAGAUCCGCAAUAAGAUACAAAAAAAAAACUUAAAACGUUAAAACUUUUGAGAACUUUUAAGAAAGUAAGCUAGGUUUAAUCCAUUAAUAAGUUUAAUGUCCAUAUCUUCGAAACCUCUAAAGCUUUAUAAACCAAAUUUCGCUUAAGACAAAUCUUUUCGGCACCUCCUAGGACAGUAGAAAAAUAAAUUAUAAUCCUGCCAGUAAGUUGUGCCUUGUUGCUAGGUCAACACAACCAA
Molecule: long non-coding RNA, 2365 nt
Organism: Bactrocera neohumeralis
Lineage: Eukaryota; Metazoa; Arthropoda; Insecta; Diptera; Tephritidae
Exons: 2
Source: RefSeq, a predicted model, not a curated record